GCCUUCUUAGCCGAUGCAAGGUCUUUUUAAGUCCACCGUGUCCAGCUGUGUGGUCUUCGUGGGCCUUGGAGAUGAGAGUUUCCGUCAGAGACGCGGGAAUCCAUAAUUUCCAAAUGGUCCCUUCCACUUGGUCGUCCAUUUGCGUGAAAGCCAUCCGCUUGAAUAUCACAUCCCCUUCCACUCGUAGGUCAGGCAACAUAUCUUGAUUCUUGCCGAUUUCUUCUUUCAGCUCCUGAUAUUCUGAAGACUCAAACUCUGUCGUCUGGAAUCCGAGGAUCUUCGUUGGAUCUAUCACCACUUCGUCGAUGCAGCGUGAGAGUGUAUCCGCCACGACGUUGUCGACUCCUUUCCGGUGUUCGAUCCCAAAGUCAAACCUCUGCAGUCGCAAUGACCACCUCGCAAGACGUCCGUUUAGAUCCUUCAAUGACAUGAGCCAUUUCAGGCUGGCGUGAUCCGUAAUAACCGUGAAGGGCAUCAAUUCAACGUACGGUCUGAAUUUUUCAAUGGCCAACACCGCAGCUAAACACUCUUUUUCCGUUACAGAAUAAUUUAGCUGAUGCUUGUUUAACUUGGCGGAGAAGAAUGCCACCGGACGCUCGGCUCCUUCGACGUCCAACUGAAACAACACCGCUCCCACUCCGUAAUUCGAUGCGUCGCACUGUACAUAGAAAUGAUUCUUGAAAUCAGCAUGACUUAAUACCGGAGCCGUGGUGAGUGCCUUCUUCAGGAAUCCUAUCGCCGUCUCGGCCUCCGUGGACAGGGAAAACUUUCCACGCGGAUGCUUCUUCAGCUCGUCUGUUAGCGGCACAGCAAUGGAAGCGUAAUCCUUGAUGAAGCGCCUAUACCAUCCUGCGGUUCCUAGGAAGCUUCUUAGUUCCUUCACUGAACUCGGAUUGGGAAUCCUUUGAAUGGCCAAAACUCUUUCAGGAUCCAUCUGCAACGUGCCACCUCCGAUGAUAAAUCCCAGGUAUUUCAG
RNAcentral lists this long non-coding RNA (976 nucleotides) under Drosophila guanche. The record is from RNAcentral. Lineage: Eukaryota; Metazoa; Arthropoda; Insecta; Diptera; Drosophilidae.